AGAACAAUAGCUCAGUGGCAGAGCACAUCUUUUGUAUGAGGAUGGUUCUGGGUUCAAUCCCUGGUAUUUCCA
Non-coding RNA from Podarcis lilfordi (Lilford's wall lizard), 72 nucleotides. Lineage: Eukaryota; Metazoa; Chordata; Lepidosauria; Squamata; Lacertidae. The record is from the annotation of a GenBank genome assembly.